Molecule: long non-coding RNA, 333 nt
Filed under: Coturnix japonica (Japanese quail)
Lineage: Eukaryota; Metazoa; Chordata; Aves; Galliformes; Phasianidae
Description: lncRNA (ENSCJPG00005000838.1)
Source: RNAcentral
CUGGGCACAGUGCCACCCACCUUUUCCUAUCUUGUAGCUGCCCUUGUUGAUAGCUGCAGAAGAAUGACAGAGGACUUCAAAGGGAAUGCAGAUGUCCGGCUCACCAUUAGCUUUGAUGUACAUCUCUCCACUCCUUGCUGCCACUUUACAGCUGCAGCCUGGCAGUGAAGAUUAUGUCUCACAGGAGCAAGUAGCUGUUGCAUCAAUGCUCUGCUAGUGGCACCACUGAUAGGAAAAGUGUGGCAGCCCUGGAUAGACCAUGCCAAAUAGCAGGUAGUUCAUUAAGCUUUAAUGAUCUUCUCAUAUAUAGAUUUUAUUAAAUUGGCUCUAGUU